CAGCCGCCGCGGUAACACGAAGGGGGCUAGCGUUGCUCGGAAUGACUGGGCGUAAAGGGCGCGUAGGCGGCGAUCAAAGUCAGGCGUGAAAUUCCUGGGCUCAACCUGGGGGCUGCGUUUGAUACUUGAUUGCUAGAGUGGGGAAGAGGGUCGUGGAAUUCCCAGUGUAGAGGUGAAAUUCGUAGAUAUUGGGAAGAACACCGGUGGCGAAGGCGGCGACCUGGUCCUUGACUGACGCUGAGGCGCGAAAGCGUGGGGAGCAAACAGGAUUAGAUACCCGCGUAGUCCCUGUCUCUUAUAC
This 301-nucleotide ribosomal RNA is filed under the name uncultured bacterium. RNAcentral's name for it is "partial 16S ribosomal RNA". It matches the Rfam family "Bacterial small subunit ribosomal RNA", at positions 509 to 807 of the family's 1533-position model. The record is from RNAcentral.